UGGGGAAUUUUGGACAAUGGACGCAAGUCUGAUCCAGCCAUGCCGCGUGCGGGAAGAAGGCCUUCGGGUUGUAAACCGCUUUUGUCAGGGAAGAAACGAGUUUCUCUAAUACAGAGACUUAAUGACGGUACCUGAAGAAUAAGCACCGGCUAACUACGUGCCAGCAGCCGCGGUAAUACGUAGGGUGCAAGCGUUAAUCGGAAUUACUGGGCGUAAAGCGUGCGCAGGCGGUUAUGCAAGACAGAUGUGAAAUCCCCGGGCUCAACCUGGGAAUUGCCUUUGUGACUGCAAGGCUUGAGUGCGGCAGAGGGGGAUGGAAUUCCGCGUGUAGCAGUGAAAUGCGUAGAUAUGCGGAGGAACACCGAUGGCGAAGGCAAUCCCCUGGACCUGUACUGACGCUCAUGCACGAAAGCGUGGGGAGCAAACA
RNAcentral lists this ribosomal RNA (427 nucleotides) under uncultured bacterium. RNAcentral describes it as "bacterial SSU rRNA". It matches the Rfam family "Bacterial small subunit ribosomal RNA", at positions 355 to 774 of the family's 1533-position model. The record is from RNAcentral.